RNAcentral lists this transfer RNA (86 nucleotides) under uncultured archaeon. RNAcentral's name for it is "tRNA-Ser(gga)". It matches the Rfam family "tRNA". From Rfam's summary of the family: Transfer RNA (tRNA) molecules are approximately 80 nucleotides in length. Their secondary structure includes four short double-helical elements and three loops (D, anti-codon, and T loops). The record is from RNAcentral.
GCCGAGGUGGCGGAGUUCGGACUAACGCGCGAGCCUGGAAAGCUCGUCUCCGAAAGGAGGCUUGGGUUCAAAUCCCAACCUCGGCG